This 471-nucleotide ribosomal RNA is filed under the name uncultured Streptococcus sp. RNAcentral's name for it is "bacterial SSU rRNA". It matches the Rfam family "Bacterial small subunit ribosomal RNA", at positions 915 to 1382 of the family's 1533-position model. The record is from RNAcentral. Lineage: Bacteria; Bacillati; Bacillota; Bacilli; Lactobacillales; Streptococcaceae.
CGGGGAACCCGCACAAGCAGCGGAGCAUGUGGUUUAAUUCGACGCAAACGCGAAAAACCUUACCAAAUCUUGACAUCCUUUGACCGCCUAAGAAAUUAGGUCUCUCUAGCAAUAGAGCAGAGUGACAGGUGGUGCAUGGUUGUCGUCAGCUCGUGUCGUGAGAUGUUGGGUUAAGUCCCGCAACGAGCGCAACCCCUAUUGCUAGUUGCCAUCAUUCAGUUGGGCACUCUAGCGAGACUGCCGGUAAUAAACCGGAGGAAGGUGGGGAUGACGUCAAAUCAUCAUGCCCCUUAUGACCUGGGCUACACACGUGCUACAAUGGUUGGUACAACGAGUUGCGAGUCGGUGACGGCGAGCUAAUCUCUUAAAGCCAAUCUCAGUUCGGAUUGUAGGCUGCAACUCGCCUACAUGAAGUCGGAAUCGCUAGUAAUCGCGGAUCAGCACGCCGCGGUGAAUACGUUCCCGGGCCUU